Molecule: ribosomal RNA, 465 nt
Filed under: uncultured Methyloversatilis sp.
Lineage: Bacteria; Pseudomonadati; Pseudomonadota; Betaproteobacteria; Nitrosomonadales; Sterolibacteriaceae
Description: bacterial SSU rRNA
Rfam family: Bacterial small subunit ribosomal RNA
Source: RNAcentral
CCUACGGGAGGCUGCAGUGGGGAAUUUUGGACAAUGGGGGCAACCCUGAUCCAGCCAUUCCGCGUGAGUGAAGAAGGCCUUCGGGUUGUAAAGCUCUUUCGGCAGGAACGAAACGGUGAGCUCUAACAUAGCUUGCUAAUGACGGUACCUGAAGAAGAAGCACCGGCUAACUACGUGCCAGCAGCCGCGGUAAUACGUAGGGUGCGAGCGUUAAUCGGAAUUACUGGGCGUAAAGCGUGCGCAGGCGGUUGUGUAAGACAGGUGUGAAAUCCCCGGGCUUAACCUGGGAACUGCGCUUGUGACUGCACAGCUAGAGUAUGGCAGAGGGGGGUGGAAUUCCACGUGUAGCAGUGAAAUGCGUAGAGAUGUGGAGGAACACCGAUGGCGAAGGCAGCCCCCUGGGCCAAUACUGACGCUCAUGCACGAAAGCGUGGGGAGCAAACAGGAUUAGAUACCCUAGUAGUC